RNAcentral lists this ribosomal RNA (302 nucleotides) under Rhodobacteraceae bacterium enrichment culture clone PSHTC-002. Its description in RNAcentral is "bacterial SSU rRNA". It matches the Rfam family "Bacterial small subunit ribosomal RNA", at positions 194 to 516 of the family's 1533-position model. Lineage: Bacteria; Pseudomonadati; Pseudomonadota; Alphaproteobacteria; Rhodobacterales; Paracoccaceae. The record is from RNAcentral.
CUUCGGGGGAAAGAUUUAUCGGAAUUGGAUUAGCCCGCGUUAGAUUAGAUAGUUGGUGGGGUAAUGGCCUACCAAGUCUACGAUCUAUAGCUGGUUUGAGAGGAUGAUCAGCAACACUGGGACUGAGACACGGCCCAGGCUCCUACGGGAGGCAGCAGUGGGGAAUCUUAGACAAUGGGCGCAAGCCUGAUCUAGCCAUGCCGCGUGAGUGAUGAAGGCCCUAGGGUCGUAAAGCUCUUUCAACUGUGAAGAUAAUGACGGUAGCAGUAGAAGAAACCCCGGCUAACUCCGUGCCAGCCGCC